This 604-nucleotide ribosomal RNA is filed under the name Janthinobacterium sp. BJB301. Its description in RNAcentral is "bacterial LSU rRNA". It matches the Rfam family "Bacterial large subunit ribosomal RNA", at positions 1082 to 1696 of the family's 2925-position model. Lineage: Bacteria; Pseudomonadati; Pseudomonadota; Betaproteobacteria; Burkholderiales; Oxalobacteraceae. The record is from RNAcentral.
GGCUAAAACAGUCAGGAUGUUGGCUUAGAAGCAGCCAUCAUUUAAAGAAAGCGUAAUAGCUCACUGAUCGAGUCGUCCUGCGCGGAAGAUGUAACGGGGCUAAGCCAGUCACCGAAGCUGCGGAUAUCCUUUAUUGGAUAUGGUAGGAGAGCGUUCUGUAAGCCUGCGAAGGUGUCUUGUAAAGGAUGCUGGAGGUAUCAGAAGUGCGAAUGCUGACAUGAGUAGCGAUAAUGGGGGUGAAAAGCCUCCACGCCGUAAGCCCAAGGUUUCCUGUUCAACGUUCAUCGGAGCAGGGUGAGUCGGCCCCUAAGGCGAGGCAGAGAUGCGUAGCUGAUGGGAAGCAGGUUAAUAUUCCUGCACCGUCGUAUGAUGCGAUGGGGGGACGGAUCGCGGAAGGUUGUCCAACUGUUGGAAUAGUUGGUUUUUGGCUCAUAGAAGGUACUUAGGCAAAUCCGGGUACGGAAUUCAAGGGGUUGAGACGAGUGAACUUGUUCACGAAGCAAUCGGAAGUGGUUCCAAGAAAAGCCUCUAAGCUUCAGUCAUACGAGACCGUACCGCAAACCGACACAGGUGGGCGAGAUGAGUAUUCUAAGGCGCUUGAGAG